Molecule: unclassified non-coding RNA, 877 nt
Filed under: Hevea brasiliensis (rubber tree)
Lineage: Eukaryota; Viridiplantae; Streptophyta; Magnoliopsida; Malpighiales; Euphorbiaceae
Source: RNAcentral
GCAAUAGCAAGUUUGACAGCAACAUGUUGGCCCUAUGUGAAUCCUGAAACUUCUGUAAAUUCUCCCGUGUGUGAUAAGGAAGGUUUUAGAGCCAAGCAAAUGAACCCCACCCCAAGUGUGGAAGCCAUUGCUGCAGCAACUGUAGCAGCUGCAACUGCAUGGUGGGCGGCCCAUGGAUUGCUACCUUUAUGUGCUCCUUUUCAUUCUGCCUUUACCAGCGCUGCUGUAUCAGCACCUGUGGUACAAUCAUCAGAUACUUGUCAAAAUCCUGAGUCCAAGGACAAAGCAGAAAGUUCCCAACAAAAUGCUGCUUUGCAAAACCAACAACUGGAUGCAGAACAAUCAGAAGCUUUGACUGCUCAACAUUCAGGUUCCAAGUUACCGACUCAUUCAUCAUCUGAUUCUGAGGGUAGUGGAGCUGCAAAUGCAAAUGCUAUGGUGAAACCUGCUAUGGUGAAACCUGCCCAUAACGAGAAGACGCCUGCUGAGGUUGAGUUUCAUGAUUCAAACAAGGGGAAGAGGGGAAAACAAGUAGAUCGUUCUUCAUGUGGUUCAAAUACACCAUCUGGAAGUGAUCGAGAGAUAGACGCAACAGAAAAUAAUGAUAAAGAAGAAAAGGAGGAGGAAAAAGAUCUUGAGAUGAAUCGUCCAGCUGUCGAGUCUAGUAAUCGUCGCAGUAGAAGUAUCAGUAACACAAGUGAAUCUUGGAAGGAGGUUUCUGAUGAGGGGCGGCUGGCUUUUCAAGCACUCUUCACUCGUGAUGUAUUGCCUCAAAGCUUUUCACCUCCCUAUGAUGUAGAAAAUGAGAAAAAGGCAAAUGAGAACGUUGCAAAAGAUAUUCAUAUUGUAGAUAAAGAUAGUGGUGCGUCAGUUUUGG